This 423-nucleotide ribosomal RNA is filed under the name uncultured bacterium. RNAcentral's name for it is "bacterial SSU rRNA". It matches the Rfam family "Bacterial small subunit ribosomal RNA", at positions 355 to 776 of the family's 1533-position model. The record is from RNAcentral.
UGAGGAAUAUUGGUCAAUGGGCGGGAGCCUGAACCAGCCAAGCCGCGUGAGGGAUGAAGGUGCAGAGCAUCGUAAACCUCUUUUGUCGGGGGACAACACCGGAGUUGCGACUCCGGCUGAGGGUACCCGAAGAAAAAGCAUCGGCUAACUCCGUGCCAGCAGCCGCGGUAAUACGGAGGAUGCGAGCGUUAUCCGGAUUUAUUGGGUUUAAAGGGUGCGUAGGCGGCGACUUAAGUCAGCGGUAAAAGCCCGGGGCUCAACCCCGGCGAGCCGUUGAAACUGGGUUGCUUGAGUUGGAGAGAAGUAUGCGGAAUGCGCGGUGUAGCGGUGAAAUGCAUAGAUAUCGCGCAGAACUCCGAUUGCGAAGGCAGCAUACCGGCUCCACACUGACGCUGAGGCACGAAAGCGUGGGUAUCGAACAGG